RNAcentral lists this ribosomal RNA (468 nucleotides) under uncultured bacterium. Its description in RNAcentral is "partial 16S ribosomal RNA". It matches the Rfam family "Bacterial small subunit ribosomal RNA", at positions 28 to 507 of the family's 1533-position model. The record is from RNAcentral.
GACGAACGCUGGCGGCGUGCUUAACACAUGCAAGUCGAACGGAAAGGCCCUGCUUUUGUGGGGUGCUCGAGUGGCGAACGGGUGAGUAACACGUGAGUAACCUGCCCUUGACUUUGGGAUAACUUCGGGAAACUGGGGCUAAUACCGGAUAGGAGCUCCUGCUGCAUGGUGGGGGUUGGAAAGUUUCGGCGGUUGUGGAUGGACUCGCGGCUUAUCAGCUUGUUGGUGGGGUAGUGGCUUACCAAGGCUUUGACGGGUAGCCGGCCUGAGAGGGUGACCGGCGACAUGGGGACUGAGAUACGGCGCAGACUCCUACGGGAGGCAGCAGUGGGGAGUAUUGCACAAUGGGCGGACGCCUGAUGCAGCAACGCCGCGUGCGGGAUGACGGCCUUCGGGUUGUAAACCGCUUUCGCCUGUGACGAAGCGUGAGUGACGGUAAUGGGUAAAGAAGCACCGGCUAACUACGUG